GAGUUUGAUCGUGGCUCAGAUUGAACGCUGGCGGCAGGCCUAACACAUGCAAGUCGAGCGGUAGAGAGAAGCCUGCUUCUCUUGAGAGGCGGCGGGCGGGUGAGUAAUGCCUAGGAAUCUGCCUGGUAGUGGGGGAUAACGCUCGGAAACGGACGCUAAUACCGCAUACGUCCUACGGGAGAAAGCAGGGGACCUUCGGGCCUUGCGCUAUCAGAUGAGCCUAGGUCGGAUUAGCUAGUUGGUGAGGUAAUGGCUCACCAAGGCGACGAUCCGUAACUGGUCUGAGAGGAUGAUCAGUCACACUGGAACUGAGACACGGUCCAGACUCCUACGGGAGGCAGCAGUGGGGAAUAUUGGACAAUGGGCGAAAGCCUGAUCCAGCCAUGCUGCGUGUGUGAAGAAGGUCUUCGGAUUGUAAAGCACUUUAAGUUGGGAGGAAGGGCAGUAAAUUAAUACUUUGCUGUUUUGACGUUACCGACAGAAUAAGCACCGGCUAACUCUGUGCCAG
RNAcentral lists this ribosomal RNA (508 nucleotides) under uncultured bacterium. RNAcentral describes it as "bacterial SSU rRNA". It matches the Rfam family "Bacterial small subunit ribosomal RNA", at positions 9 to 511 of the family's 1533-position model. The record is from RNAcentral.